RNAcentral lists this ribosomal RNA (492 nucleotides) under bacterium M-1. Its description in RNAcentral is "SSU rRNA". It matches the Rfam family "Bacterial small subunit ribosomal RNA", at positions 17 to 486 of the family's 1533-position model. The record is from RNAcentral.
ACCUGGCUCAGANCGANCGCUGCCGGCGUGCCUAACACAUGCAAGUCGAACGGAGAUNUCAGCAAUGGAAUNUUAGUGGCGAACGGGUGAGUAACGCGUAGACAACCUACCUUCUAGCUGGGGACAACACUGCGAAAGUGGUGCUAAUACCGAAUGUUGUAUUUUGAAUGCAUAUUUGAAAUACUAAAGGUGGCCUCUAUUUAUAAGCUAUCACUAGAAGAUGGGUCUGCGUCUGAUUAGCUAGUUGGUGAGGUAACGGCUCACCAAGGCGACGAUCAUGUAGCCGGUCUGAGAGGAUGAACGGCCACNCUGGGACUGAGACACGGCCCAGACUCCUACGGGAGGCAGCAGUGGGGAAUCUUCCGCAAUGGACGAAAGUCUGACGGAGCAACGCCGCGUGAGUGAAGAAGGUCUUCGGCUCGUAAAACUCUGUUUUCAGGGACGAAUGUGUGGAUUGUAAAUAAUGAUCCAUAAUGAAAGGUACCUGACAAG